CAGGGAGACAAUAACUGAUUGUGAUGUCUGGCUAAAUUAUUGCUAGGCCAUGAUCCUGUCAUCUCGAUGGUUAAUCGGUACCUCAACCGACAGAAGCGAAGCCAAAAUCUAUUCCAGAAAUGGGAGAGUGGAUGAGCUGUCGUGGAUGUCUUUUCAGUUCCUAAACUUUGUCUAGGUCACCCCGCAAGGGUAUCCCUGGGCCAUUAGCUCAGGUGGUUAGAGCGCACCCCUGAUAAGGGUGAGGUCCCUGGUUCAAGUCCAGGAUGGCCCAUUCGUGUUUGGGGGUUUAGCUCAGUUGGUAGAGCGCCUGCUUUGCAAGCAGGAUGUCAGCGGUUCGAGUCCGCUAACCUCCACUGACCAACCCAUCCGGAUCGCGAAAGCAACGGGAGAGCUUGUGGUGGUGAUUUUAGAUUUUUGUACUGAGAGAAGGACUCUAGCUUCCUUUCAUCUCAUGGUAAGCCUAAAUCGUUAAACGGAUUAAGGUGUGAGCCAUGAUUGAAAAGACGCUGGACUCCAGCAAGAUCAACCGAAAGGUUGAUAUUUGUUGUGUUCAGUAGAACCUUGACAACUGCAUAGGUAAGUCUGUAAAUAAAGCAUCUCAUGGAUGCUUCAACAGCAGCCAAUUAUUCCAAGGGCUUUUGCCAUUGGGAUGAAAUAUUGAUGUUGAAGCGAUUCUAGAGUAGGAGCCGAGACUCCACAUUGCUCCUGGUUCUUGCCGAAAGAAUCGGGUUUGAUCCUGUUUUCAUGGACAGUAGCCGAUGAACUGGAGAAAUCCAGAACGUCAGUUGCUGUAAUUGAAAGCAGGAAAAUCUGCGUACAACCGCAGUAAGGUGAUGUGGAGAUAAAUU
This 848-nucleotide transfer RNA is filed under the name uncultured cyanobacterium. RNAcentral describes it as "partial contains 16S ribosomal RNA, 16S-23S ribosomal RNA intergenic spacer, and 23S ribosomal RNA". The stretch from base 281 to 353 matches the Rfam family "tRNA". The record is from RNAcentral. Lineage: Bacteria; Bacillati; Cyanobacteriota.